GACGAACGCUGGCGGCGUGCUUAACACAUGCAAGUCGAACGGAAAGGCCCUGCUUUUGUGGGGUGCUCGAGUGGCGAACGGGUGAGUAACACGUGAGUAACCUGCCCUUGACUUUGGGAUAACUUCAGGAAACUGGGGCUAAUACCGGAUAGGAGCUCCUGCUGCAUGGUGGGGGUUGGAAAGUUUGGGCGGUUGGGGAUGGACUGGCGGGUUACCAGCUGGUUGGUGGGGUAGGGGCUUACAAAGGCUUUGACGGGUAGCCGGCCUGGGAGGGUGACCGGCCACAUUGGGCCUGAGAGAGGGCCCAGACUCCUACGGGAGGCAGCAGUGGGGAAUAUUGCGCAAUGGGCGGAAGCCUGAUGCAACAACGCCGCGUGCGGAAUGACGGCUUUCGGGUUGUAAACCGCUUUCGCCUGUAACGAACCGUGAGUGACGGUAAUGGGUAAAGAAGCACCGGCUAACUACGUG
Molecule: ribosomal RNA, 468 nt
Filed under: uncultured bacterium
Lineage: Bacteria
Description: partial 16S ribosomal RNA
Rfam family: Bacterial small subunit ribosomal RNA
Source: RNAcentral